RNAcentral lists this ribosomal RNA (258 nucleotides) under uncultured Thiobacillus sp. Its description in RNAcentral is "partial 16S ribosomal RNA". It matches the Rfam family "Bacterial small subunit ribosomal RNA", at positions 1122 to 1382 of the family's 1533-position model. Lineage: Bacteria; Pseudomonadati; Pseudomonadota; Betaproteobacteria; Nitrosomonadales; Thiobacillaceae. The record is from RNAcentral.
CGGUAAGCCGGGCACUCUGGAUGGACUGCCGGCGACAAGCCGGAGGAAGUGGGGAUGACGUCAAGUCCUCAUGGCCCUUAUGGGUAGGGCUUCACACGUCAUACAAUGGUCGGUACAGAGGGUUGCCAAGCCGCGAGGUGGAGCCAAUCCCACAAAGCCGAUCGUAGUCCGGAUUGUUCUCUGCAACUCGAGAGCAUGAAGUCGGAAUCGCUAGUAAUCGCAGGUCAGCAUACUGCGGUGAAUACGUUCCCGGGUCUU